Molecule: non-coding RNA, 116 nt
Filed under: Candidatus Brocadia
Lineage: Bacteria; Pseudomonadati; Planctomycetota; Candidatus Brocadiia; Candidatus Brocadiales; Candidatus Brocadiaceae
Also listed under: 1 other name
Description: c-di-GMP sequence
Rfam family: c-di-GMP-I-GGC riboswitch aptamer
Source: RNAcentral
UACGAUAAAGGCAAACCCUGAGCGAUCAGGGGACGCAAAGUAAAGGGUCUUUAGAAGCUGUUUAAACGGCUUAAACUGCUUAAACGGUUUAUUAGAAGACAGCCUUACUGCCGGAG